GGAGGAUGCGAGCGUUAUCCGGAUUUAUUGGGUUUAAAGGGUGCGUAGGCGGAUAGAUAAGUCAGUGGUGAAAACCUGCAGCUUAACUGUAGACUUGCCGUUGAUACUGUCAGUCUUGAGUAUGGUCAAGGUAGGCAGAAUGUGUAAUGUAGCGGUGAAAUGCUUAGAUAUUACACAGAACACCGAUUGCGAAGGCAGCUUACUGGGCCAUUACUGACGCUGAUGCACGAAAGCGUGGGGAUCGAACAGGAUUAGAUACCCUGGUAGUCCACGCCGUAAACGAUGAUCACUCGCUGUUAGCGAUACACAGUUAGCGGCUAAGCAAAAGCAUUAAGUGAUCCACCUGGGGAGUACGGCCGCAAGGCUGAAACUCAAAGGAAUUGACGGGGGCCCGCACAAGCGGAGGAACAUGUGGUUUAAUUCGAUGAUACGCGAGGAACCUUACCUGGGCUUAAAUGUAGAGUGCAUUCAGCUGAAAGGCUGAUUUCCUUCGGGACUCUCUGCAAGGUGCUGCAUGGUUGUCGUCAGCUCGUGCCGUGAGGUGUCGGGUUAAGUCCCAUAACGAGCGCAACCCUUAUCGUUAGUUGCCAGCGGGUAAUGCCGGGAACUCUAACGAAACUGCCGGUGUAAACCGAGAGGAAGGUGGGGAUGACGUCAAAUCAGCACGGCCCUUAUGUCCAGGGCUACACGCGUGUUACAAUGGCCGGUACAGAGGGCAGCUAUGCCGCGAGGCAAUGCGAAUCUCGAAAGCCGGUCUCAGUUCGGAUCGGAGUCUGCAACUCGACUCCGUGAAGCUGGAUUCGCUAGUAAUCGCGCAUCAGCCAUGGCGCGGUGAAUACGUUCCCGGGCCUU
This 852-nucleotide ribosomal RNA is filed under the name uncultured Cytophaga sp. Its description in RNAcentral is "bacterial SSU rRNA". It matches the Rfam family "Bacterial small subunit ribosomal RNA", at positions 527 to 1382 of the family's 1533-position model. Lineage: Bacteria; Pseudomonadati; Bacteroidota; Cytophagia; Cytophagales; Cytophagaceae. The record is from RNAcentral.